AGUAUGUUAAUGAGAGAAAUGCCCGGGCUGCUGUAGCAGGAGAGGAUGGCAGAAUGAUUGCUGGCCAGGUUUUAGAUAUUAACCUGGCUGCAGAGCCAAAAGUGAACCGAGGAAAAGCAGAUGACUCUGCUGAGGAGGGGGACCUACUGGAUGAUGAUGAUAAUGAAGAUGGGGGGAUGACCAGCUGGAGUUGAUCAAGGAUGAUGAAAAAGAGGCUGAGGAAGGAGAGGAUGACAGAGACAGCGCCAAUGGCGAGGAUGACUCUUAAGCACAUAGUGGGGUUUAGAAAUCUUAUCCCAUUAUUUCUUUACCUAGGCGCUUGUCUAAGAUCAAAUUUUUCACCAGAUCCUCUCCCCUAGUAUCUUCAGCA
This 370-nucleotide long non-coding RNA is filed under the name Homo sapiens (human). RNAcentral's name for it is "HSALNT0044865". Lineage: Eukaryota; Metazoa; Chordata; Mammalia; Primates; Hominidae. The record is from RNAcentral.